Molecule: non-coding RNA, 439 nt
Organism: Schizosaccharomyces pombe (fission yeast)
Lineage: Eukaryota; Fungi; Ascomycota; Schizosaccharomycetes; Schizosaccharomycetales; Schizosaccharomycetaceae
Source: the annotation of a GenBank genome assembly
GCCUUGAGGAGCAAAAAAUUCCUUCAAAAUCAAAAACUGCUUUGGCUGCCUUCGGGUAAUGUUCGUCUAAAAAUCCUCCUCCAUUCUCUUUCGCAAAAAUUCCUGAAUAACCCCACGGUUGAUUUUCUAAAGGCUGUACGUCUUGGAUCUCAACAACUAAAACAUCACCUGGUUCAGCGCCCUUAAUCUCAAAUGGUCCAGAGAGAUAGUGGAUUCUGGUUAAAUCUACAUUUUUAAUGUCUUCUGCACUAUCGUCAUUCUUAAUCUGUCCACCAGUCCAAUCUAAGCAUUCGAUUUUUACCGUUUCUCCUUCGUCUAUGCUUUCUGCGAAUGGAAUAUCCGGAUGCCACCUGUUAUGUAAGUUUGGUUGCUCCCAUGCAGGUUUAUUUAAAUCAACUUUGACAAUUGUUCUAGGUGCCAUAAUCUGAAGAUCACUUGG